GAUGAACGCUGGCGGCGUGCUUAACACAUGCAAGUCGAACGAAGCACUGAGAAAUGAAGCUUUCGGGUUGAUUUUCUCUUUGACUUAGUGGCGGACGGGUGAGUAACGCGUGGGUAACCUGCCGUAUGCAGGGGGACAACAGUUGGAAACGGCUGCUAAUACCGCAUAAGCGCACACUGUUGCAUGACAGAGUGUGAAAAGAUUUAUCGGCAUACGAUGGACCCGCGUCUGAUUAGGUAGUUGGUGAGGUAACGGCCCACCAAGCCGACGAUCAGUAGCCGACCUGAGAGGGUGACCGGCCACAUUGGGACUGAGACACGGCCCAAACUCC
This 331-nucleotide ribosomal RNA is filed under the name uncultured Ruminococcus sp. RNAcentral's name for it is "bacterial SSU rRNA". It matches the Rfam family "Bacterial small subunit ribosomal RNA", at positions 28 to 339 of the family's 1533-position model. The record is from RNAcentral. Lineage: Bacteria; Bacillati; Bacillota; Clostridia; Eubacteriales; Oscillospiraceae.